UACGUAGGUGGCAAGCGUUAUCCGGAAUGAUUGGGCGUAAAGGGUGCGCAGGCGGAUGUAUAAGUCUGAAGUAAAAGCCAUCGGCUCAACCGAUGUAAGCUUUGGAAACUGUAGAUCUAGAGUGCAGGAGAGGACAGUGGAAUUCCAUGUGUAGCGGUAAAAUGCGUAGAUAUAUGGAGGAACACCAGUGGCGAAGGCGGCUGUCUGGCCUGUAACUGACGCUGAGGCACGAAAGCGUGGGGAGCAAA
This 248-nucleotide ribosomal RNA is filed under the name uncultured Erysipelotrichaceae bacterium. Its description in RNAcentral is "partial 16S ribosomal RNA". It matches the Rfam family "Bacterial small subunit ribosomal RNA", at positions 524 to 772 of the family's 1533-position model. Lineage: Bacteria; Bacillati; Bacillota; Erysipelotrichia; Erysipelotrichales; Erysipelotrichaceae. The record is from RNAcentral.